This 448-nucleotide ribosomal RNA is filed under the name uncultured bacterium. RNAcentral's name for it is "partial 16S ribosomal RNA". It matches the Rfam family "Bacterial small subunit ribosomal RNA", at positions 355 to 793 of the family's 1533-position model. The record is from RNAcentral.
UAGGGAAUCUUCCACAAUGGACGCAAGUCUGAUGGAGCAACGCCGCGUGAGUGAAGAAGGCUUUCGGGUCGUAAAACUCUGUUAUUGAAGAAGAACGUGUGUGACAGUAACUGGUCAUGCAGUGACGGUAUUCAAUCAGAAAGUCACGGCUAACUACGUGCCAGCAGCCGCGGUAAUACGUAGGUGGCAAGCGUUGUCCGGAUUUAUUGGGCGUAAAGCGAGUGCAGGCGGUCUUUUAAGUCUGAUGUGAAAGCCUUCGGCUUAACCGAAGAAGGGCAUCGGAAACUGGGAGACUUGAGUGCAGAAGAGGAGAGUGGAACUCCAUGUGUAGCGGUGAAAUGCGUAGAUAUAUGGAAGAAACACCAGUGGCGAAGGCGGCUCUCUGGUCUGUAACUGACGCUGAGGCUCGAAAGCGUGGGGUAGCAAACAGGAUUAGAUACCCUGGUAG